This 813-nucleotide ribosomal RNA is filed under the name uncultured Thiomicrospira sp. Its description in RNAcentral is "bacterial SSU rRNA". It matches the Rfam family "Bacterial small subunit ribosomal RNA", at positions 8 to 795 of the family's 1533-position model. The record is from RNAcentral. Lineage: Bacteria; Pseudomonadati; Pseudomonadota; Gammaproteobacteria; Thiotrichales; Piscirickettsiaceae.
AGAGUUUGAUUAUGGCUCAGAAUGAACGCUGGCGGCAGGCCUAACACAUGCAAGUCGAACGGAAACGACAAGAACAAACUCUUCGGAGGGCGAUCUUGGGCGUCGAGUGGCGGACGGGUGAGUAACGCGUGGGAAUCUACCCCUUAGUUGGGGACAACAUAUGGAAACGUAUGCUAAUACCGAAUAUGCUCUACGGAGUAAAGGUGGCCUCUACUUGUAAGCUAUCGCUAAAGGAUGAGCCCGCGUUAGAUUAGCUAGUUGGUGGGGUAAAGGCCUACCAAGGCGACGAUCUAUAGCUGGUUUGAGAGGAUGAUCAGCCACACUGGGACUGAGACACGGCCCAGACUCCUACGGGAGGCAGCAGUGGGGAAUAUUGCACAAUGAGGGAAACCUUGAUGCAGCCAUGCCGCGUGUGUGAAGAAGGCCCGAGGGUUGUAAAGCACUUUCAAUUGUGAGGAAAGGCUAGUCGCUAAUAUCGGCUAGCUGUGACGUUAACUUUAGAAGAAGCACCGGCUAACUCUGUGCCAGCAGCCGCGGUAAUACAGAGGGUGCAAGCGUUAUUCGGAAUUACUGGGCGUAAAGCGCGCGUAGGCGGACUGUUAAGUCGGUUGUGAAAGCCCUGGGCUCAACCUAGGAAUUGCAUCCGAUACUGGCAAUCUAGAGUUUAGGAGAGGGAAGUGGAAUUCCUGGUGUAGCAGUGGAAUGCGUAGAUAUCACGAGGAACAUCAGUGGCGAACGCGACUUCCUGGCCUAAAACUGACGCUGAGGUGCGAAAGGCGUGGGUAGCGAACGGGAUUAGAUACCCUGGUAGUC